UGACUCGGACGCGAUUUGAACACGCAGCCUUCUGAUCUGGAGUCUGAGGCGCUACCGUUGCGCCACCGAGUC
RNAcentral lists this transfer RNA (72 nucleotides) under Araneus ventricosus. RNAcentral describes it as "tRNA-Trp". Lineage: Eukaryota; Metazoa; Arthropoda; Arachnida; Araneae; Araneidae. The record is from RNAcentral.